UGAGGAAUAUUGGACAAUGGGCGCAAGCCUGAUCCAGCCAUGCCGCGUGCAGGAAGAAGCAUCUAUGGUGUGUAAACUGCUUUUGUACGGGUAGAAACACUCCUUCGUGAAGGAGCUUGACGGUACCGUAAGAAUAAGGAUCGGCUAACUCCGUGCCAGCAGCCGCGGUAAUACGGAGGAUCCAAGCGUUAUCCGGAAUCAUUGGGUUUAAAGGGUCCGUAGGCGGUUUAGUAAGUCAGUGGUGAAAGCCCAUCGCUCAACGAUGGAACGGCCAUUGAUACUGCUAGACUUGAAUUAUUAGGAAGUAACUAGAAUGUGUAGUGUAGCGGUAAAAUGCUUAGAUAUUACAUGGAAUUCCAAUUGCGAAGGCAGGUUACUACUUGUGGAUUAACGCUGAUGGACGAAAGCGUGGGGAGCGAACA
This 422-nucleotide ribosomal RNA is filed under the name uncultured bacterium. RNAcentral describes it as "bacterial SSU rRNA". It matches the Rfam family "Bacterial small subunit ribosomal RNA", at positions 355 to 774 of the family's 1533-position model. The record is from RNAcentral.